GGGCUCAUAGCUCAGUUGGUUAGAGCGUUUCCUUGACAUGGAAGAGGCCGGAGGUUCGAGUCCUCCUGGGCCCACCA
This 77-nucleotide transfer RNA is filed under the name Candidatus Omnitrophota bacterium. RNAcentral describes it as "tRNA-Val". It matches the Rfam family "tRNA". From Rfam's summary of the family: Transfer RNA (tRNA) molecules are approximately 80 nucleotides in length. Their secondary structure includes four short double-helical elements and three loops (D, anti-codon, and T loops). Further hydrogen bonds mediate the characteristic L-shaped molecular structure. tRNAs have two regions of fundamental functional importance: the anti-codon, which is responsible for specific mRNA codon recognition, and the 3' end, to which the tRNAs corresponding amino acid is attached (by aminoacyl-tRNA synthetases). tRNAs cope with the degeneracy of the genetic code in two manners: having more than one tRNA (with a specific anti-codon) for a particular amino acid; and 'wobble' base-pairing, i.e. permitting non-standard base-pairing at the 3rd anti-codon position. The record is from RNAcentral. Lineage: Bacteria; Pseudomonadati; Candidatus Omnitrophota.